Molecule: ribosomal RNA, 268 nt
Filed under: Salmonella enterica subsp. enterica serovar Kentucky
Lineage: Bacteria; Pseudomonadati; Pseudomonadota; Gammaproteobacteria; Enterobacterales; Enterobacteriaceae
Description: partial 16S ribosomal RNA
Rfam family: Bacterial small subunit ribosomal RNA
Source: RNAcentral
GUGCCCAGAUGGGAUUAGCUGGUUGGUGAGGUAACGGCUCACCAAGGCGACGAUCCCUAGCUGGUCUGAGAGGAUGACCAGCCACACUGGAACUGAGACACGGUCCAGACUCCUACGGGAGGCAGCAGUGGGGAAUAUUGCACAAUGGGCGCAAGCCUGAUGCAGCCAUGCCGCGUGUAUGAAGAAGGCCUUCGGGUUGUAAAGUACUUUCAGCGGGGAGGAAGGUGUUGUGGUUAAUAACCGCAGCAAUUGACGUUACCCGCAGAAG